This is a long non-coding RNA of Gossypium raimondii (Peruvian cotton), 585 nucleotides long. RefSeq lists it as uncharacterized. The record is from RefSeq and is a predicted model, not a curated record. Lineage: Eukaryota; Viridiplantae; Streptophyta; Magnoliopsida; Malvales; Malvaceae. The transcript has 2 exons.
UCUUUUCCUCUAUUUUCUCUUGCCUUUCUACUCCUGCUAGAGUUUGGCCAAAAUUCUAGGGUUAGUCUCUCUAGGCCUUCUCUUUCUAUAAUAUUUGAUAUUUUUUAUUUUGAUUUUGCAGUUUAUUUGAAGCUAGAAAUUGUUAAAACUUAAGAUGCUCGAAUAGACGCUUUCGCCAUUUAUCUUCUCCCGUACCACCGAAGUUGCUAUAAUAUUAGUAUAAGAUGGGUUCAUUAUACUGCAAGAGAGAUCACUGGGCAGCCCUGUUAUGUCUAGCUGAAAGCUAUUGGACUACCAAUAAUGUGCUUGCCAUUAGACCAUUCAAGACUAGCAAAGCCAGUUGAACCAGAUGGCAUAGAACUAGCUCUGAAUGUCACUGUAUAGCUUUUCUUCUCGUAUUGUGUACUGAAACUUAAUAUUGCUAGCUCAACUGACAUUUUCAUUGCUCAUGUCUGUGAAUACAAUGAAAUCUUGUAUGUUGCUGGUGCACCAACAUUUGUAAGGGUCCUUUUGUAUUUCACGAUGCUGCCCUCUAUGCCCAAGCCAAUUUCGAAGGGAACAGAGAAGGAUGGAUAGUUAAAAUCU